RNAcentral lists this ribosomal RNA (215 nucleotides) under uncultured Cellulomonas sp. Its description in RNAcentral is "partial 16S ribosomal RNA". It matches the Rfam family "Bacterial small subunit ribosomal RNA", at positions 1169 to 1382 of the family's 1533-position model. The record is from RNAcentral. Lineage: Bacteria; Bacillati; Actinomycetota; Actinomycetes; Micrococcales; Cellulomonadaceae.
AGAAGUGGGGAUGACGUCAAAUCAUCAUGCCCCUUAUGUCUUGGGCUUCACGCAUGCUACAAUGGCCGGUACAAAGGGCUGCGAUACCGCGAGGUGGAGCGAAUCCCAGAAAGCCGGUCUCAGUUCGGAUUGGGGUCUGCAACUCGACCCCAUGAAGUCGGAGUCGCUAGUAAUCGCAGAUCAGCAACGCUGCGGUGAAUACGUUCCCGGGCCUU